RNAcentral lists this non-coding RNA (31 nucleotides) under Mus musculus (house mouse). The record is from RNAcentral. Lineage: Eukaryota; Metazoa; Chordata; Mammalia; Rodentia; Muridae.
UAAGUACCUGUGUGUGUCUUCUGUAGGCCUU